AGUUGCGAACGGGUGAGUAACGCGUAGGUAACCUACCUCUUAGCGGGGGAUAACUAUUGGAAACGAUAGCUAAUACCGCAUAAAAGUCGACAUUGCAUGAUGUUGACUUGAAAGGUGCAAAUGCAUCACUAAGAGAUGGACCUGCGUUGUAUUAGCUAGUUGGUGAGGUAACGGCUCACCAAGGCGACGAUACAUAGCCGACCUGAGAGGGUGAUCGGCCACACUGGGACUGAGACACGGCCCAGACUCCUACGGGAGGCAGCAGUAGGGAAUCUUCGGCAAUGGACGGAAGUCUGACCGAGCAACGCCGCGUGAGUGAAGAAGGUUUUCGGAUCGUAAAGCUCUGUUGUAAGAGAAGAACGAGUGUGAGAGUGGAAAGUUCACACUGUGACGGUAACUUACCAGAAAGGGACGGCUAACUACGUGCCAGCAGCCGCGGUAAUACGUAGGUCCCGAGCGUUAUCCGGAUUUAUUGGGCGUAAAGCGAGCGCAGGCGGUUAGAUAAGUCUGAAGUUAAAGGCUGUGGCUUAACCAUAGUACGCUUUGGAAACUGUUUAACUUGAGUGCAGAAGGGGAGAGUGGAAUUCCAUGUGUAGCGGUGAAAUGCGUAGAUAUAUGGAGGAACACCGGUGGCGAAAGCGGCUCUCUGGUCUGUAACUGACGCUGAGGCUC
This 672-nucleotide ribosomal RNA is filed under the name uncultured Bacilli bacterium. RNAcentral's name for it is "bacterial SSU rRNA". It matches the Rfam family "Bacterial small subunit ribosomal RNA", at positions 94 to 754 of the family's 1533-position model. The record is from RNAcentral. Lineage: Bacteria; Bacillati; Bacillota; Bacilli.